This 76-nucleotide transfer RNA is filed under the name Bacillota bacterium. RNAcentral's name for it is "Firmicutes bacterium (hot springs metagenome) tRNA-Ala". It matches the Rfam family "tRNA". Rfam says of the family: Transfer RNA (tRNA) molecules are approximately 80 nucleotides in length. Their secondary structure includes four short double-helical elements and three loops (D, anti-codon, and T loops). Further hydrogen bonds mediate the characteristic L-shaped molecular structure. tRNAs have two regions of fundamental functional importance: the anti-codon, which is responsible for specific mRNA codon recognition, and the 3' end, to which the tRNAs corresponding amino acid is attached (by aminoacyl-tRNA synthetases). tRNAs cope with the degeneracy of the genetic code in two manners: having more than one tRNA (with a specific anti-codon) for a particular amino acid; and 'wobble' base-pairing, i.e. permitting non-standard base-pairing at the 3rd anti-codon position. The record is from RNAcentral. Lineage: Bacteria; Bacillati; Bacillota.
GGGGCUGUAGCACAGUUGGGAGAGCGCUUGCAUGGCAUGCAAGAGGUCGCGGGUUCGACUCCCGCCAGCUCCACAA